UUGGUGGGGUAAAGGCUUACCAAGACUAUGAUGUGUAGCCGGGCUGAGAGGUUGAACGGCCACAUUGGGACUGAGACACGGCCCAAACUCCUACGGGAGGCAGCAGUAGGGAAUUUUCGGCAAUGGAGGAAACUCUGACCGAGCAACGCCGCGUGAACGAUGAAGUAUUUCGGUACGUAAAGUUCUUUUAUUAGGGAAGAAUAAAUGAUGGAAAAAUCAUUCUGACGGUACCUAAUGAAUAAGCCCCGGCUAACUAUGUGCCAGCAGCCGCGGUAAUACAUAGGGGGCAAGCGUUAUCCGGAAUUAUUGGGCGUAAAGGGUGCGUAGGCGGUUAAAUAAGUUUAUGGUCUAAGUGCAAUGCUUAACAUUGUGAUGCUAUAAAAACUGUUUAGCUAGAGUAAGAUAGAGGCAAGUGGAAUUCCAUGUGUAGUGGUAAAAUGCGUAAAUAUAUGGAGGAACACCAGUAGCGAAGGCGGCUUGCUGGGUCUUUACUGACGCUGAGGCACGAAAGCGUGGGGAGCAAACAGGAUUAGAUACCCUGGUAGUCCACGCCGUAAACGAUGAGUACUAAAUGUUGGGUAAAACCAGUGUUGAAGUUAACACAUUAAGUACUCCGCCUGAGUAGUACGUACGCAAGUAUGAAACUUAAAGGAAUUGACGGGACUCCGCACAAGCGGUGGAUCAUGUUGUUUAAUUCGAAGGUACCCGAAAAACCUCACCAGGUCUUGACAUGCUUCUGCAAAGCUGUAGAAACACAGUGGAGGUUAUCAGUUGCACAGGUGGUGCAUGGUUGUCGUCAGCUCGUGUCGUGAGAUGUUGGGUUAAGUCCCGCAACGAGCGCAACCCUUAUUGUUAGUUGCCAGCACGUAAUGGUGGGGACUUUAGCAAGACUGCCAGUGAUAAAUUGGAGGAAGGUGGGGACGACGUCAAAUCAUCAUGCCCCUUAUGACCUGGGCUACAAACGUGAUACAAUGGCUGUUACAGAGGGUAGCUGAAACGCAAGUUUUUGGCGAAUCUCAAAAA
Molecule: ribosomal RNA, 1023 nt
Filed under: 'Manihot esculenta' phytoplasma
Lineage: Bacteria; Bacillati; Mycoplasmatota; Mollicutes; Acholeplasmatales; Acholeplasmataceae
Description: bacterial SSU rRNA
Rfam family: Bacterial small subunit ribosomal RNA
Source: RNAcentral